Molecule: non-coding RNA, 363 nt
Organism: Acidithiobacillus caldus SM-1
Lineage: Bacteria; Pseudomonadati; Pseudomonadota; Acidithiobacillia; Acidithiobacillales; Acidithiobacillaceae
Rfam family: transfer-messenger RNA
About the family: Bacterial tmRNA, also known as 10Sa RNA or SsrA, is named for its dual tRNA and mRNA-like properties.
Source: Rfam
GGGGGCGAUCGGUUUCGACACAGGUCGCGAAGCCUUCGGUGCGUGCAGAGCUGCGGUUUGCUCUUAAAACUGGUCGCAACGCUAUAAUUGCCAACGACAGCAAUUACGCCCUCGCUGCUUAAGCAGUGAGCCCUCCGCCCGGGUUCGUCCGCGGACGCGGUGGCCGCAAGGCCUGCGGGGGGUCGACAAACGCGGAAUCGCGCUGGGUCUGUCCGCUGACCCAGCGUUAAAACAAGCGGACUCGCAUUCUGGGAAUCCUGUCCGUCGGAGUCCCGGAGUGUCAAAGCAAAAAGACGGACUACGCAUGUAGAACCGGGGGUCUAGGUCCUGUGGACGCGGGUUCGAUUCCCGCCGCCUCCACCA